RNAcentral lists this ribosomal RNA (253 nucleotides) under uncultured bacterium. RNAcentral's name for it is "partial 16S ribosomal RNA". It matches the Rfam family "Bacterial small subunit ribosomal RNA", at positions 524 to 776 of the family's 1533-position model. The record is from RNAcentral.
UACGUAGGGUGCGAGCGUUGUCCGGAAUUAUUGGGCGUAAAGAGCUCGUAGGCGGCUUGUCACGUCGGUUGUGAAAGCCCGGGGCUUAACCCCGGGUCUGCAGUCGAUACGGGCAGGCUAGAGUUCGGUAGGGGAGAUCGGAAUUCCUGGUGUAGCGGUGAAAUGCGCAGAUAUCAGGAGGAACACCGGUGGCGAAGGCGGAUCUCUGGGCCGAUACUGACGCUGAGGUGCGAAAGCGUGGGGAGCAAACAGG